GUGCCAGCAGCCGCGGUAAUACGGGGGGAGCUAACGUUGUUCGGAAUCACUGGGCGUAAAGGGCGCGUAGGCGGCCUUGUAAGUGGAAUGUGAAAGCCCCUGGCCCAACCAGGGAACUGCGUCCCAUACUGCAAGGCUUGAGUGCAGAAGAGGAUGGGGGAAUUCCCGGUGUAGCGGUGAAAUGCAUUGAUAUCGGGAGGAACACCAGUGGCGAAGGCGCCCAUCUGGUCUGCUACUGACGCUCAGGCGCGAAAGCCGGGGGAGCAAACAGGAUUAGAAACCCCGGUAGUCC
RNAcentral lists this ribosomal RNA (292 nucleotides) under uncultured bacterium. Its description in RNAcentral is "partial 16S ribosomal RNA". It matches the Rfam family "Bacterial small subunit ribosomal RNA", at positions 505 to 796 of the family's 1533-position model. The record is from RNAcentral.